RNAcentral lists this ribosomal RNA (382 nucleotides) under uncultured Pseudobutyrivibrio sp. RNAcentral's name for it is "bacterial SSU rRNA". It matches the Rfam family "Bacterial small subunit ribosomal RNA", at positions 354 to 754 of the family's 1533-position model. The record is from RNAcentral. Lineage: Bacteria; Bacillati; Bacillota; Clostridia; Lachnospirales; Lachnospiraceae.
UGGGGGAAUAUUGCACAAUGGGCGCAAGCCUGAUGCAGCGACGCCGCGUGAGCGAAGAAGUAUUUCGGUAUGUAAAGCUCUAUCAGCAGGGAAGAAAAUGACGGUACCUGACUAAGAAGCUCCGGCUAAAUACGUGCCAGCAGCCGCGGUAAUACGUAUGGAGCAAGCGUUAUCCGGAUUUACUGGGUGUAAAGGGAGCGUAGGCGGUAAGGCAAGUCUGAUGUGAAAAUUUGGGGCUCAACCCCAAAACUGCAUUGGAAACUGUUUAACUGGAGUGUCGGAGGGCAAGUGGAAUUCCUAGUGUAGCGGUGAAAUGCGUAGAUAUUAGGAGGAACACCAGUGGCGAAGGCGGCUUGCUGGACGAUAACUGACGCUGAGGCUC